AAAUUACUUUUCACCUCAGUUCAAUGUGAAUUUUCUCUCCUUGUAAGCAAACAGAAUGUAGCAGUACUAUUUCUAUCCUAAGAACAUAUGCACGUUGUUCCAUUAGUAGUAAUAUUUUCAUCAGAACAUUGUUUAACAGUAGCAAGUGAUAACAUUUGUAGGCAGUAAUCAGAGACUUGACAGCUUUCCUCACCACUAACAUUCUUCCAUCUAGGAGA
RNAcentral lists this long non-coding RNA (218 nucleotides) under Homo sapiens (human). RNAcentral's name for it is "HSALNT0119379". The record is from RNAcentral. Lineage: Eukaryota; Metazoa; Chordata; Mammalia; Primates; Hominidae.